RNAcentral lists this long non-coding RNA (3190 nucleotides) under Mytilus galloprovincialis (Mediterranean mussel). The record is from RNAcentral. Lineage: Eukaryota; Metazoa; Mollusca; Bivalvia; Mytilida; Mytilidae.
GACUCCCAGCUAACCAGCUUAUGCUUUAAACAUGUAGCAUACCUAAGGGAAUUAGCUACUUUAAUCUCACUUAUAGCCAACCAAUCUAUUCUUGAAUCACGUAGCUAUACUAAUUUGACUGCUAGCUUAUCAAUAUAUUAUUUAAGCACAAAUCAUACUGAUGGGAAUCUGCUUUAUUAACUUCGACUCCUAUAUAAAAGUCUCUAUCCUGUACUUAUCCACAAUACCACUAAACCGGAUGGAAUCUUUUUAAAUUCAGUAUAUUUGGCUGAAUGAAAACUAGACCAAAAGUGACUUGUUUCAACGGGUUGUCUCUUGAUGUCAGUUUUCAUAUAAAAUGAAACAAAGAUAAAUAACUGGUCCAAACUUUUAAUAGUCAACAUUGUGAAUAAUAUAAAAAGUUAACAAGAAUUAAAAAUUGUAAUAAAAAGUGAAAUAUAAAUUCAAACUGGAAAUGCAAUGCAAAUGCAACAACAUGGUUAUAACAGUUUAUGCAUGCUUGAAUAAUAUCAAUGGUUACAUGUAUUAAUAGUUGAAUCAUUUCUGUCAAACUCUCUCACAAAAAAUAUUUAAACUUAUAUUGAUAUUUCUAAUAACCAAACUUCAUGGACUUUCAUUUGAUUCCUUCCGUAAAACAUUUUUCUAUUUCACAGAAAUAUUGCAAAUCUUUCAUGAAAACACUUAUGGUGAUUUUUUUUAUAAAAAAAUUUUUUUUUGAACAGUCUGCACCUUUAAUACUUUGUAAUUCAUACUGACCCAAUUCAUCUUUGGUAAUAAAAAAUAUGAUAUGGUGUGUAAAAUUCAGAUUUAAAAAAUGUAAACAUAAAUAAUAAUAAUAUACAAAAUUGAUAUAAACAAAGCUUACCGGUGUACUGAUUAAAUAAUUAACCUUCACAUAUGAAUACAAGGUAAUGCAGGGUAUAUAUUAUUGAGACAGCAAAAAACAGUGCAAAACUUAAAACAAACAGAGGUUGACAAACUAAACAGACUUAAAUACUUUUUGUAAAAUUCUAAAAUUCUGUACAAGCUAAAUAAACAAAUAAAUAACAAAGGUUUUCUUUGUUUACUGGUGUUGCAAACUGAAAAGAUUUUAAGGUUACGUGAUUGUAACACAGAAGAACAAGCACCUAUUAACAAACUUUGAAAUAUUGUGUAACUUUAAUAUCAAAUGGUUUCUUAUCUGAUUCAACAUAUUCUAUCCACACUAGGUACUAUAUUUGAAAACUUUUGAAAAUUAGAGUGCAAUAGCUGUGACACAGUGUCUCUUUACAUUAAUAGUCAGUAGUUUGAUAGGUUUAAUUUUAUAUGAAUACAUGUAUAUAUUUUAUAUCUGACCUUUCUAUAUUCAUGAAUACAAUUAUGUAUAUACCUGUGGAAAUGUUUAAAAAAUUGAAAAUGUGAAGCAGUAUACACAAAUUUAAUAGGUUAGUUCCUCAUUCUGUUAUUGCUUUUCAUCUAUAAUGGAUGUAAAUUAAUGUUCACCCUGAAAAUAAGUAUUGUAACAAAAAAUCUUUUAAUUGAAAAAAUUAGAAAUUUGAAAAAGUUAAACUGUAUAAUUAUGAUGAGUGAAAGCAUUACAUCUUUUGACUCUGAUAUGGAAAAUUGUGACAUAUUUUUAAUACAGGGCAGUGACUCUGAUUGGCAAAGACUCUUGAUAUUUUGGCAGUAUCAGUCGACAAUUACAGAGUUAUUUGAUAAAUGAAAAUUUUCUGUAAUAUGCAAGGUCAUAUCCCAUAAAUAAAAAGCUCUUAAUCAGCCAAUUGGUGAAAAUCUAUUUGUUUGCACUAGUGUCUCAUAUAAAUUAAUUGUACUUCUUAAAAUAUACCAGAUUCUUAACUUCCCUUAAAGUUCAACAAGUUGGUUGAUUUGUUAUUAAAAGAAGAAAUUUGAAUAAUUUCCAAACAGCUGAUAACUGUAAUUUUUCUUCUCAAAACUUUAAACUUUAAAUAACAGUUAAAAGAAAGAGUUACAGUGCAAUACUAAAAUCACCCUCUUACAAGCCAUUACCGGUAGCUUUUUUUAAAAAUUUCAAGAAACUGUUUCGCAAUGCACAGCUGAAUACAACCAAAGAGGUCCAACCCUGAAUAGUUUGGGCAAAAAUGGACACAAUAUUCAAGCUUGAUACCAGCCUGAAUUUGGAUUGUUAUUUAAUAUUUGACACAUUAAAGGUUUUUGACACAAUAUAAAUGAAGUCAAAGAACUUGAAAUUAUUUUUAUGAUUUGGAUUUAUAUUCAAUUUAAGAUUUCUUGCUUUUGGCCAAUACAUUGUGCUGUUGCACAAUACUUAUUAAAUCUGUUUUCAGCCUAUAUACAAAAAAUUAGCAAAAUAAAUUGUGACCCCCAAUUUUUCCUGGAAACUUUUUCAUUUCUUUAAUAUUGAGGGAAGAAAAUUCCCCCCUCCCAAUUUUUUUUAUUAUCCCCUCAAAAAAUCCCCCCUCUCCUUUUUCAAAAAAAAAAAAACACUUAAGAAAAUUGUCUUUUCGUAAAAUGUGGUACGAUUAAGAGACAUCAAUACACUUACACACAAGUUAUGGUCUAGAAACUAGAAAAAAAAUGCUUGUUUUAGACCUUUAAGUUCCUAAUUCCUAAAUGGCUUGGACAAUUACCCCCAAAAAUGAAUCAAAACCCUCUACUUGGUAUUGAACCUUGUGAUACAAUUUCAGAGCAAUCAAAAUACUUAUACAAAUGAUAUUGUCCUGAGAUUAGAAAAAGACAUGUUUUGAGUCUUUUUUUGGCCCAUAAUUCCUAAACGAUUGGGACCAUCACCCAUCAUUUGUUGGCAGUCCUAUAAAAAUACUAGCCCUUUAUUAAAAUCAGUUAAAAUGUUAAUAACAAGUAAAACAAAGCACUACUGAAACUUUUGUAGGACAAGAAAUGUGGUGUCAUUUUAACUUAUACUUAACAACUUUUCGAAACAUUUUAAACAAUACUUAACAACUUUUCGAAACAUUGCAAACAACACUUAAACAGAAAAUAAGUAAAGAGUCAAAUAUAGCAUAUGGCACAAUGCUGCAGGGUUAAGAAACAUAUAAAGAAAAUCAAACACAGGAAGACCAUUCGAUGUCACAAAUAAAUAUACAUUUUUACCACCAUCACUAUCAUUGAUAAACAUGAUAAAAAAUGCAAUGUAUAAUGAUGUAUGCAAUCAUUGAUCCUAAUUAUGAUGUAUAUUUGUUUUUAUACAUUUAAG